Long non-coding RNA from Ctenopharyngodon idella (grass carp), 994 nucleotides. RefSeq lists it as uncharacterized. The record is from RefSeq and is a predicted model, not a curated record. The transcript is spliced from 5 exons. Lineage: Eukaryota; Metazoa; Chordata; Actinopteri; Cypriniformes; Xenocyprididae.
UACCAUGAACUAGUAUCCAUAUCGUAGUAAUCAUAUCAUUUGAAUUGUAGCUCUCCACUGUACUGCUGUCAAUAUAAAACCAUUAUGAGAACUUUUUUGUGUUUUCUGUGGGUUAUCGUUUUUACGGCCCUAUCUGCAGAAUCCUUAAGUCAGGAGAGAAGGAAUUUGUCUGAAACAAUUAAAUUUCUGCGUGAACUGGGUCCAAAAGAAUGCCUAAAAGAGGUGGAAAAUGCGACGACUGAUCGGUUCACGAUUCUUCCCAAAAAGGAAAUACAUCAGGCACUGAAGAUAUCAUAUAACUCUAUCUUUGAGCUCUUCAAAAAGAAAAUAACCCAUGGUCACUGGAAUAACGCUGCAUUCCAAAAUCUAAUGGAGCACCUCAACCGGCAAGCUAAAUCAAAUAGCGUCCCGGUGACGAGCUCUGAACUUGAGACGCUGGUCAAGAACUUCAAGCUGCUUGAUAAUUUUCUUACAGAGCAGGAUUUUAGCCGCUGCGCUUGGGAGAUUGCGCGCAAUGAGAUUUUGGUCGUCAUGGACCACUUCAGGAGAAUGACAUAUAGAAAGAGACACAAUUAGCCUAAUAUCGGCUAAAUAGUAGUAAAAUGUUGUUAGAUGUUAAAUUAAAUUAAAUGUUGUUCAUAAUUUAUUAAUAUGCUAUUUUAUUGUUUUUCUUUUGCACUUUUCACUUUUCAUUUGGUAAAAUGAAUGAAUGAAUGUAUUUCCAUAUUUAUAUUUGCCAUUGUCUGAACUGGCUUUAAUAACUCUGCACUUAUGCUAUUUAGAAACAUAUUUAUUAGAACAGAACAACUAAUCUAGACUACACUAAAAAUGUCUUCAUCAAGCAAAUAAACAUAUAUUGUCUUAUAUUGUUUAUCCGGGGCAUGAAUGUUUCGUUUACACGUUGAAUGUAUUAUUCAAUGAAUUGUUUUUUUAACAAAUGUGUGGACACAUCACUUCACUAAUGUUAAUAAAAAAAUAAAUUCUCAAAAAUGUA